GGUCGGUUGGCCAAGCGGUAAAGACAUAUCUCUUUCACGGAUAUAACGCAGGUUCAAAUCCUGCACCGACCA
RNAcentral lists this transfer RNA (72 nucleotides) under Bacteriophage sp. RNAcentral describes it as "tRNA-Glu". It matches the Rfam family "tRNA". From Rfam's summary of the family: Transfer RNA (tRNA) molecules are approximately 80 nucleotides in length. The record is from RNAcentral.